UUCAAUUAAAAAUUCAGUUUCUUGGUCAUAGCCACCUUUCAAGUGCUUAAUAGCCACAACGUGGCUAAGUGACAGUCAUAUCACAGCACAGAAACAGAACAUUUCCAUCAUUGCAGAAGCUUGUAUUGGACAGAAUUUUGUCACAAUGUUUCUCACUUCAAGGUAGCGUAAGACACUUGUGACUUUUGCGACAGCACUGAAGUUUUUAUUCAUUAAUAAUGAACACCAUUUAGCCAACAGGACUAAGAAAUUUAAGUAGGAUGACUUUUGCAUAUUGUUGUUUUGUGUGUAAAGAGAUGAAAGAUUAGUUUUAUACAUAUAAAGCAGUACACAUUUAAGUUGCUGAUUUAUGGACUAUGUGGGUUAAGCAAUUUAAGAAUUGGCCAGACUUUUAUAUUUAAAAUAUAACUUGAAUUGAAACCUGGUUUUCACAGCCCACCACGAGUGUGGCCUUCACUGUACCCAUGAUCUGGCCAAGUAAGAUCUCCGUGUUAAAGUCCUUUGAUCCAUAAUCAAAUCUUUAAAAAAAUUGUAUUUUUAAAAAUUGAGGUGAAAUCCAUAUGACAUGAAAUUAACCAUUUGAAAGUGAACAGUUUGGUGGCAUUUGGUACAUUCACAGUGCUGUGCAGCUUACUACCUCAAGGUUCCAAACAGUCUCAUCGCCUCCAAAGGAAAUCAUACUUUUCAAGCAAUUGUUUAACACUCCCCUUUUCCCAGCUUUUGGCAACCACCAAGCUACUUUCUGUGUGUAUGAAUGUACCUAUUCUGAAUAUUUCAUGUGAAUGGAAUUGUACCUGUGAUCUGUUGUGUCUGGCUUAUUGCACCAUUAUCAAAUUUUAACUAGUUUUAAGAUUCACAGUAUCAUCUUUGUUAAACCAUAGGCAGUACUGUUGCCUGACUGUCUUUUGGUAAAAUCUUUCACUUCUUGUUUUAAAAUUUUGGGUAAUAUACCUUUUAUCACAGCCAGUUCAUUAAUCUUCCUUUACCAUAAAGGAUAGCAUUCGUUUCUUUUAAUUUGAGGUAUGGCAGUUUUAUUAACUAGUACACUUCUGAUAAACUUUCCCACCUAAUUAGAAUUGUUCUUUUUUGAAUACUUGAUGAGGGUGUGUACUUGAUGAGGAUGUAUCUUCUGAACAUGGAGAUACCAUUAGGAAAUAUGAAACUGAUUUCAUUCCUUGGGAGGUUGACUAACUUCUCUUCGACUAGCAGAUAUGAAGUGUGCAGGACUUGGAAAUCAAGCCCCAAUGGUUAUGUUUGCCAGCCAUGAACAAGUGACUUUGGAGCUGGUAGAAUUACAAGCCUAUGCUCAUUAGUAGCGAGUAAAUCUGGAUGUGAUGUAUAUUAUGAAUAAUAGGAGUAGAAUGAGAAAGGGUUGGAGAUGUGUGUGAGAGAAGAGACUGGGUACAAAUACACUGACAAGUUUAAAUGUAAAGAACAUGUUGCUGUAUCUGUGAUUUUUCUGGUUCAUUGCUCCAAAAACAUCAGUUCGCAGAUGUUGCCACCAUUGCCAUUUGAAUUGUAACGUGAUCCGUGGUCUGAAUGCAAGGAUAAGCUUUUUUUCUUCCAUCCUGGGGAAACUAUUGUCAGCUUCUUAUUUUGAGGCCCUUUAAUGUCAUCAUUACGUGUAUAUUAAUAACUUAAUUGCUGUUUGUACUUGACCCUGUCCCUGCCUCUGUAAGCUGUACAAACUCAAGACAAAUGCAUUAUAAAUGUAGGGUGUUUUGAAAAAUGAAACCAUGAACAGAUUUUUAUUAUGCUGCGUUAUGCAGCCAUGGAGGUAGUCUUAUGACUGAUGUCACUGUCCUGAGAGGUGCCUUACAGCCUUAGGCAUGUAUUGUAUAUUUGUAAAUCUAAGAGUUGGUUGUAGAACCAGGUGUUGAGGUGUGUGUACUGUUGGGUCUUAUAAAGCCCAUUUGCAGUUUGGGAUGUCUUAUAAGUGAUGAGAGAGCCCCCCAUACUGAUUGUCUCCGUCUUCCUUGCCUUACAAUGCUUGACCAUCCUAACUGUGUCAUCACUUACUCGGUUUACUUUUACUGAGGGAUUUUCAGCAGGGGCUGUCUGAGGAAGGGCAAGGUGGCAUUUGUGUAACUUGGAGAAGCCCAUUCGAAUAUGUCAGAAUGUUUGGUAAGUUACCGCUUACUUCAUAGGGUUUGGGGGGAGCUUAAAUAAGAUAGCAAUCAGCACAUGAGGGCUCAAUAAAAAUUUAAAGGGAUUUAGGGUAAUUUGCCACAACCUCCAACCCUGCCUCCAGCACUGUGGAUUUGUGAGUGUUUCUAUCCCUGUCUGGCCCAUAAUAGAUGUGCAGUACAUGUUAGUUGAGAGAAUUGAACUGAUGGCUCAUUACAUAUUAGGGAGUGGGGAGUCACUUGUUGAAUAUCUCUUAGGUGCGAGGAGUUCUUUAAUUGAAACUAAACAAAUGCUUAUUCUCAUUCAGUGCUCUAAGCAGUUCUCUCAGGCAGAUGACAUGCCAUUUCCAUGAUUCAGUGAAAUAAUUGCCUCUCACAACUUGUACAUGACACUGUAGGCUUUAAAGCCAGGAGUCAGCCCAGUGCUGGCCUCUCAGCACCAGCGUCUGCUGCCUCCUCCAUCCUGAGGUUCGCACGUCAGCCUGAUCACCUAGCACUGCCUGACUUUCUCUGGAAGUUGAGUGAUUUUUCCUUACUAUACCUGUAAACUUUUCUUUUAAAUAGGAAGUGAAAAAAAAAUCUUUUGUGAAGUACAAUUCCUCUUCCUUCCAAACCUAGUUCAAAUGCUUUUUCCAUUUCUGUUAACAUCCUGCUAAUCGCAUAGGUUGGGGUGUCUUAGACCCUUCACUCUUCCUUCCUGCACCUGUCCGGUGUCACCCCUGUUACCUCUGUGUUUAGCCUCUCCUCUCCAGCUGCACUGCGCCGCGGUGGGAGCCAUGCUGAUGUUGCUGGCUGAGGUGUCUUUCCAUUCAAAGGUCAUCCAAAUACCACUGUGUAGGAUCAUCUGCAGCUGCGACGCUCAGCAUGUCACUUCUCAAAAGAUCUUGGUUGCCCUUUACCUUUCAGGGGCAAGAAACUCCUUUCUUCACUACUUCAUAUUAUGGAAGAUUGGGCCCAAAACUUUUCUUGACUUACAGGUCUUAACACUCCAGGGGAGUGAGUUUAAAUGUAACUUUGAGAGAUUAUGAAUUCACUGUUUAUUGGUGUGCAGGAUUCAUGUGACUUCAAAUUCUUCAAUGUCUUUUUUGCAUCUUGGAGAUUCUUUAAAGCAAGGGCACUUUCAUACCGGAGUAUCAUUAGGCUUUCAGAUAUAAAAAUAAACUUAAACAUUUAAGUAUCAGUAUAUAUUUCUCAUACAUCUCUUUCAGUAAUAUCAUAAGUAGAUUUUCAGCGUGACAAUUGUGGAAACUGGAUUGUUUCUUGAUCUUAGAAUUCUAAUAGAGGGACAAAAACAGUGUCAUUUUAAUCAUCAUUUCUGAGAUGUCAUAAGGGCCCAUACACAUUUCAGGGACUUUAUAUGAAUGUCCUUUGUACUUUCUUGGUAUCAAAUAGAACUUAUUCCAGGAUCUUGAUGAUAAAAUAUGUAUGAUUAUAGAAUUUUUAAAAGGGCUAAUCAUAGCCUUCUUUGACUACAGCUACCAAGAGAAACUAGAGAAGUAAUGUGUCUUUGUUGAGCAAAAUCUUACUAAUCUGAUCUGUGUAUGCUGUUGAUUACUCUUUAAAUAUCUGUGACAGAAAAGUUUUUGAAGCAAAAUACGAGAACAAGCAUACUUUUAUGAGUACAUUUCCAUUACUGAAAAGGUUUCAAAAUUGGCUGUGAUUGGCAGAUUUUUAGAAGUAGGUUAAACAGACUUAUAGUUUGAAAACCUGAGUUAGUUGCCAUUAGUUAGGUCUGGAUUGUUGAGAUUUUUGUUGGGUUAUUGAAUUUAUGUUUUUACUGUAUUUUAGAACAUAAAUAAAAUGGAUGUGUAAUUUCAAUUUUUAAUAGAACUUAUUUCUAUUAAAUAGCACCUGUGGAACUUUCUCAAGAGGAACAAUUGUUGUGUGAAGGUUCAAAUUCAGCUGUUAGCAUGGAACUUUCAGAACCUGUUGGUAAGAAAAUUUCUGACCAUAUGAAUACAGUAUUAUGAAACUCUUUCACUCUCAAGAUUUAAGGUGCACAUUAGAAAAUGGGGAGACAGAAAUGUCCCCAGAAGAAUCAUGGGAGCACAAAGAAGACAUCAGUGAAGCAGAGCCAGUGGGUGGCUCCUUUGGAGGUGGAAGGCCCCCAGAGGAAAGUGCCCAGGAGAUGAUGGAGGAGGAAGAGGAGGUACCAGAACCCAAAUCUGUGGAUACACCGCCAGGUGCUCCUAAGAAGGAACAUGUAAAUGUAGUAUUCAUGGGGCAUGUGGAUGCUGGCAAGUCAACCAUUGGAGGACAAAUAAUGUAUUUGACUGUAAUGGUUGACAAAAGGACACUUGAGAAAUAUGAAAGAGAAGCUAAAGAGAAAAAGAGAGACUUCGUAUAAUAAACUUUUAUGAUAAUGAUAAAUACCUUUUAGGGAAAUGCUGCCUGCUUAAUGCUUUUGCAGUCUACUAAGAUGUAAGUUCAUGAAGUCUAAAAUUGUGUCGUAACAAAGGAAAAGCUUCCCUUCCCCUCACAGCACACAGCAGAUCAGUUCGUCAUGACUUUAUAACUUACACAGACAAAACUUGGAAACAUCCAAACAACCUGUU
Molecule: long non-coding RNA, 4681 nt
Organism: Manis pentadactyla (Chinese pangolin)
Lineage: Eukaryota; Metazoa; Chordata; Mammalia; Pholidota; Manidae
Exons: 5
Source: RefSeq, a predicted model, not a curated record